RNAcentral lists this small nuclear RNA (110 nucleotides) under Mus musculus (house mouse). Lineage: Eukaryota; Metazoa; Chordata; Mammalia; Rodentia; Muridae. The record is from RNAcentral.
AUCCUGUGAAACUCAGCAGCAUAUAUACUAAAAUUGGAACGAUACAGAGAAGAUUAGCAUGGCCCCUUUUCAAGGAUGACAUCGAAAUUCGUGAAGCAUUCUAUAUUUUU